GCCACCAUAGCUCAGUUGGUAGAGCACGUCACUCGUAAUGACGGGGUCGUCGGUUCAAAUCCGACUGGUGGCU
RNAcentral lists this transfer RNA (73 nucleotides) under bacterium. Its description in RNAcentral is "tRNA-Thr". It matches the Rfam family "tRNA". Rfam says of the family: Transfer RNA (tRNA) molecules are approximately 80 nucleotides in length. Their secondary structure includes four short double-helical elements and three loops (D, anti-codon, and T loops). Further hydrogen bonds mediate the characteristic L-shaped molecular structure. tRNAs have two regions of fundamental functional importance: the anti-codon, which is responsible for specific mRNA codon recognition, and the 3' end, to which the tRNAs corresponding amino acid is attached (by aminoacyl-tRNA synthetases). tRNAs cope with the degeneracy of the genetic code in two manners: having more than one tRNA (with a specific anti-codon) for a particular amino acid; and 'wobble' base-pairing, i.e. permitting non-standard base-pairing at the 3rd anti-codon position. The record is from RNAcentral. RNAcentral also lists the same sequence under 6 other names.